AGGUUACCGUAGGUGAACCUGCGGUAGGAUCAUUGUUGGUUUUGAGCCCACGAACUGUGCAGGGGAGGGGGCGAGCCCGACGUGGUCCGACUCGUCGCCUCCUCGAACCCCGCUCUCGCCGGCGUUUGGACUGGGGGCCAUGCUGCUUUGUCGUGCUUCGCUCCAGGCGGGUGUCGCGGCAGGGCUCGGGCCUCUGCAAGUCGUUCGCUUGCUGUUCGGGGUAUAUAAUCCAAGGGCGUGAUUGAGUGCCGUGCUCUGUGUUGUGGUGAUGUGGACGGCCCUUUUCCGACUGCGACAGGUGUGUCCGGCGACUUCGGUCCCUGGGCUGUCCUGCCCUGCUGCAUUUGGAAGGGGCCCCUUGGUUUCCCUUUGCAAGCCGGUUCCUCGAAAAGCGCCCGCGGCUGUCGCCGGAUUUUCGCCUCCGUGACGAGUUCGCGAGGCAGCUGCAACCCCCUUGUUGCGUUGCCAAGGAUAUAGUUGUGCUUCUCAUGAGUGUGAUGGUGGUGUGUUCGGGAGUGCAGUCGCGCAGGUCGCGGGGCAGGACCUCUCGUCGCCGUUCCCUCUCUCUCUUUGACGGCCUAUAUCCUUUUGGACGUGGCGGGGCGGGGGACAUCUCCCUUCUCCGGUGCCCACCCAUGAGGUCUCGCCCUCUGGACCACGGUGGCAUUGUGGGAUGGGUUUUUGUCACAAACACUCGAGACACUGCGGUGCAGUUCGCACCAAGGAUUUGUAAGAAAUAGCCGUGCGAUCCGUGCGUCAUGUGCGCGCUGGACCGUCGGUGCCAUGAGAAUACGACUCUCGGCAACGGAUAUCUCGGCUCUCGCCACGAUGAAGAAUGUAGCGAAAUGCGAUACUUAGUGUGAAUUGCAGAAUCCCGUGAAUCAUCGAGUCUUUGAACGCAAGUUGCGCCCGAGGCCUCGGCCGAGGGCACGCCUGCUUGGGCGUCGCACUUCAAAAUCGCUCUCCCCCUCGGUGCAUAGGCGGGAGCAGCGGAUAUGGCCGUCCGUCCCCAAAGGGGGUGCGGUCGGCUCAAAUGGGCACGAGGUCUGUCCCCUGUGUCACGACGAGCGGUGGCCCACGCGGGUUGGCGUUGGUUUGUGGCCGGCGGGUGCGGAUAUGUGUGGAACUUUAUCUUGGAGUUGUUGGCUUUUUGCCUAAUGUGCAGGCCGGACGGCUACCUUCCGCGUCCCC
This 1191-nucleotide ribosomal RNA is filed under the name Torreya fargesii. RNAcentral describes it as "eukaryotic LSU rRNA". The stretch from base 794 to 947 matches the Rfam family "5.8S ribosomal RNA". The record is from RNAcentral. RNAcentral also lists the same sequence under 1 other name. Lineage: Eukaryota; Viridiplantae; Streptophyta; Pinopsida; Cupressales; Taxaceae.